Molecule: ribosomal RNA, 271 nt
Filed under: uncultured bacterium
Lineage: Bacteria
Description: partial 16S ribosomal RNA
Rfam family: Bacterial small subunit ribosomal RNA
Source: RNAcentral
UACGUAGGGAGCAAGCGUUGUUCGGAUUUACUGGGCGUAAAGAGCGCGUAGGUGGUUCGAUAAGUCGGAGGUGAAAUCCCUCGGCUCAACCGAGGAUCCGCGUCCGAUACUGUCGGACUUGAGUGCAGGAGAGGAGAGCGGAAUUCCCAAUGUAGCGGUGAAAUGCGUAGAUAUAGGAAGGAACACCAGUGGCGAAGGCGACCACCUGGACUGAUACUGACACUGAGGUGCGAAAGCGUGGGGAGCAAACAGGAUUAGAUACCCCUGUAGU